Molecule: transfer RNA, 76 nt
Filed under: Paenibacillus polymyxa
Lineage: Bacteria; Bacillati; Bacillota; Bacilli; Caryophanales; Paenibacillaceae
Also listed under: 191 other names
Description: tRNA-Ala
Rfam family: tRNA
About the family: Transfer RNA (tRNA) molecules are approximately 80 nucleotides in length. Their secondary structure includes four short double-helical elements and three loops (D, anti-codon, and T loops).
Source: RNAcentral
GGGGCCAUAGCUCAGCUGGGAGAGCGCAUCGCUGGCAGCGAUGAGGUCAGGGGUUCGAUCCCCCUUGGCUCCACCA